This 154-nucleotide ribosomal RNA is filed under the name Colletotrichum orbiculare MAFF 240422. RNAcentral's name for it is "5.8S ribosomal RNA". It matches the Rfam family "5.8S ribosomal RNA". Rfam says of the family: 5.8S ribosomal RNA (5.8S rRNA) is a component of the large subunit of the eukaryotic ribosome. It is transcribed by RNA polymerase I as part of the 45S precursor that also contains 18S and 28S rRNA. Lineage: Eukaryota; Fungi; Ascomycota; Sordariomycetes; Glomerellales; Glomerellaceae. The record is from Rfam by way of RNAcentral.
AACUUUUAAUAAUAAAUCUCUUAAUUCUAAUAUUAAUAAAGAAUGUAGCGAAAUAUAAUAAGUAAUAUGAAUUAUAGAAUUUAAUAAAUCAUUAAGUCUUUAAAUAUAUAUUAUACCUACUAGUAUUCUAGUAAGUAUACCUAUUUAAGUAUCA